CGGAGGGUGCAAGCGUUAUCCGGAUUUACUGGGUUUAAGGGGUGUGUAGGCGGGCUAUUAAGUCAGUGGUGAAAUCUCCGAGCUUAACUUGGAAACUGCCAUUGAUACUAUUAGUCUUGAAUAUUGUUGAGGUAGGCGGAAUAAGUCAUGUAGCGGUGAAAUGCAUAGAUAUGACUUAGAACACCAAUUGCGAAGGCAGCUUGCUAAACAAUUAUUGACGCUGAGGCACGAAAGCGUGGGGAUCAAACAGGAUUAGAUACCCUGGUAGUCCACGCCCUAAACGAUGAUUACUCGACAUACGCGAUACACAGUGUGUGUCUGAGCGAAAGCAUUAAGUAAUCCACCUGGGAAGUACGACCGCAAGGUUG
Molecule: ribosomal RNA, 368 nt
Filed under: uncultured organism
Description: bacterial SSU rRNA
Rfam family: Bacterial small subunit ribosomal RNA
Source: RNAcentral